GCUAAUUUUGGCUGCAAGUUUUCGAAAAUUUCCCUUUUCUCUCUGGAGGUUGAUCUGGAAUUUCUGGGUUUGCUUUUUUUUGGAGUUGCUUCUGAGGGCUUCUUUGGGGGACGAUUCCGAGCUCUCCCUUCUCUCUCUCGUCUCCUCUCUCUCAUUCCCCUGAAAGAGCUUGCUUCAGUGAUCUUAUCCCCCGAAUUAAG
Molecule: long non-coding RNA, 200 nt
Filed under: Eucalyptus grandis
Lineage: Eukaryota; Viridiplantae; Streptophyta; Magnoliopsida; Myrtales; Myrtaceae
Description: long non-coding RNA (EGRA_LNC005950)
Source: RNAcentral